This 2520-nucleotide long non-coding RNA is filed under the name Mytilus galloprovincialis (Mediterranean mussel). The record is from RNAcentral. Lineage: Eukaryota; Metazoa; Mollusca; Bivalvia; Mytilida; Mytilidae.
GAUGUUUAGAAAGUUGCAUAACGCCUAUGUUGACAUGAUAUGUAAUCCAUUUUAUACACCUGGGGAAAAUAUAACAUCAAAGUAAGUACACACCUGGUGAAAAUAUAACAUCAAAGUAAGUACACACCUGGAGAAAUUUUAACAUCAAAGUAAGUACACACCUGGAGAAAAUAUAACAUCAAAGUAAGUACACACCUAGAGAAAAUAUAACAUCAAAGUAAGUACACAUCUGGUGAAAAUACAACAUCAAAGUAAGUACACACCUGGAGAAAAUAUAACAGCAAAGUAAGUACACACCUGGGGAAAAUAUAACAUCAAAGUAAGUACACAUCUGGAGAAAAUAUAACAUCAAAGUAAGUACACACCUGGAGAAAAUAUAACAUCAAAGUAAGAACACACCUGGAGAAAAUAUAACAUCAAAGUAAGUACACACUUGGAGAAAAUAUAACAUCAAAGUAAGUACACACCUGGAGAAAAUAUAACAUCAAAGUAAGUACACACCUAGUGAAAAUAUAACAUCAAAGUAAGUACACACCUGGUGAAAAUAUUACAUCAAAGUAAGUACACACCUGGAGAAAAUAUAACAUCAAAGUAAGUACAUACAGGUAUUUAUGGAAAAGGGCCUCGUUAACGUUCUCACAGGUACAAUCGACUUUUUAGCUCACCUGACCAGAAUGGCCAAGUGAGCUUUUCUCAUCUCUAGGUGACCGUCGUCUGUCAUCAUCCGUCGUUGUUAACUUUUACAAAAAUCUUCUCCUCUGAAACUACGUAGCCAAAUUUAACCAAACUUGGCCACAAUUAUCAUUGGAGGUAUCUAGUUUAAAAAAAUGUGUCCCUUGACCUGGCCAACCAACCAAGAUGGCCACCAUGUCUUAAAAUAGAACAAAGGGGUAAAAUGUAGAUUUUGGCUUAUAUCUCUGAAACUAAAGCAUUUAGAGCAAAUCUGACGGGGUUCAAAUUGUUUAUUAGGUUAAGAUCUAUCUGCCCUGAAAUUUUCAAUUGAAUCGGAUAACCUAAACCAGUUGGUAUAUUGCUGCCCUUGAAUUGGUAAUUUUAAGGAAAUUUUGCCGUUUUUUGGUUAUCUUGAAUAUUAUUAUAGAUAGAGAUAAAAUGUAAACAGCAAUAAUGUUCAGCAACGUAAGAUCUACAAAUAAGUUAACAUGACCAAAUUGGUCUGUUGAUCCCUUAAGGAGUUAUUGUUCUUUAUAGGCAAUUUUUAACAAUUUUUCGUAAAACUACUGAGACAAAUUUAACUAAACUUGUCCACAAUCAUCAUUAGGGUAUCAAGUUUAAAAAUUGUGUCCGAUGACCCCACCCACGAGUUAAGAUGGCGGUUAUGGCUGAAAUAGUACAUAGGAUGAAAUGCAGUUUUUACCUGUUGUUGGGUUGCUGCCCCUGAAUUGGUAAUUUUAAGAAAAUUUUGCAGCUUUUGGUUAUUAUCUUGAAUAUUAUUAUAGAUAGAGAUAAACUGUUAACAGCAAUAAUGUACAGCAAAGUAAGACCUACCAAUAAGUCAACUUGAACAAAAUUGUCAAUUGACCCCUUAAGGAGUUAUUGCCCUUUAUAUUCAAUUUUUAAUAAUUUUAAUAAAUUUUGUAAAUUUUUAUAAAAUAUUUUCCACUGUAACUACUGGGCCAAGUUCAUUAUAGAUAGAGAUAAUUGAUAAUUGUAAGCACUUAGCAGCAAGAAUGUUCAGUAAAGUAAGAUCUACAAACACAUUACCUUCACCAAAACACAAUUUUGUCAUGAAUCCAUCUGUGUCCUAUUUUUAAUAUGCACAUAGACCAAGGUGAGCGACACAGGCUCUAAAAGCCUCUAGUUUUAAAUGAGUUACGCCCUUUGGAAAUAUUAAAUAAGUGUUUAUGAUCAUAAGAUAGUAUCCAGAAGUAAAUUGUGUAAAAAAUAAAUCAUGUUUAUUCAUAUUUUUAUUAUAAAUAGACAGUUUCUGCCAGUAAACUAUGCCCUCACUAUGGUUAAGUUUGAUAAUUUGCAUAACUUUCUAUCCUGGAAUUGUACCAAACUUGGACAGAAUUUUGUUAAUCAUCAAAAGCUAGUAUCAAGAAAGAAAAAUAUUUUCUGUUUUUCCAUAAAUUACUUAUAAAUGGACUUAGUUUUUCUUCCAGUUAACAUUAUACACAGUCUACAGUUAAAAUUCUUAAAAUAUUUAUUAGGUUCAUAAAGUAGGUGAGACUCUGGGUUCUGCAGAACCCUUUCGAAUUAUUCAAGUUUUUAUUCUUGUUUAUUUUCAUGUGUUUAAAAUACCCUUUAUAUAUUUACAUUAUUUUUAUCUUUUACAGAUCUUUUGAGAACACUGUUAGAUCAAUGAUGGUUCAAGAUUGAAGGACUGUAGAUAUUUUUGUAAACGUGUCCUCUUUAUUAUAAAUCAGCUUGUAAGCUGGAACAGUAGAAUGGACUUAUAACUCUACUAGCUGUGAUACAUUCCCUUGAGAGAGAAACAUGUGCAAUAUGUAAUGGUUGAUUGUUGUUUGAUAUGAUCAAAAUUAAAAUAUUUAAAUGAAA